GGUUUCAUAUUUUGAGGAACUGCCAGACUGUUUUCCAAAGUGGCUGAGUAUGUUUAAAAUCCCACCAGCAA
Molecule: long non-coding RNA, 71 nt
Organism: Mustela erminea (ermine)
Lineage: Eukaryota; Metazoa; Chordata; Mammalia; Carnivora; Mustelidae
Exons: 3
Source: RefSeq, a predicted model, not a curated record